This 301-nucleotide ribosomal RNA is filed under the name uncultured bacterium. RNAcentral's name for it is "partial 16S ribosomal RNA". It matches the Rfam family "Bacterial small subunit ribosomal RNA", at positions 509 to 807 of the family's 1533-position model. The record is from RNAcentral.
CAGUAGCCACGGUAAUACGUAGGUGGCAAGCGUUGUCCGGAAUUAUUGGGCGUAAAGGGCUCGCAGGCGGUUUCUUAAGUCUGAUGUGAAAGCCCCCGGCUCAACCGGGGAGGGUCAUUGGAAACUGGGAAACUUGAGUGCAGAAGAGGAGAGUGGAAUUCCACGUGUAGCGGUGAAAUGCGUAGAGAUGUGGAGGAACACCAGUGGCGAAGGCGACUCUCUGGUCUGUAACUGGCGCUGAGGAGCGAAAGCGUGGGGAGCGAACAGGAUUAGAUACCCCUGUAGUCCCUGUCUCUUAUAC